Molecule: small RNA, 29 nt
Filed under: Bombyx mori (domestic silkworm)
Lineage: Eukaryota; Metazoa; Arthropoda; Insecta; Lepidoptera; Bombycidae
Description: ovarian small RNA-31512
Source: RNAcentral
UGACCACGACCCUCCAUUGUUCCAGCCAC